CAGCAGCCACGGUAAUACGAAGGGGGCUAGCGUUGCUCGGAAUGACUGGGCGUAAAGGGCGCGUAGGCGGUUCACGCAGUCAGAUGUGAAAUUCCUGGGCUUAACCUGGGGGCUGCAUUUGAGACGCGUGGGCUUGAGUGUGAAAGAGGGUCGUGGAAUUCCCAGUGUAGAGGUGAAAUUCGUAGAUAUUGGGAAGAACACCGGUGGCGAAGGCGGCGACCUGGUUCACAACUGACGCUGAGGCGCGAAAGCGUGGGGAGCAAACAGGAUUAGAUACCCCCGUAGUCCCUGUCUCUUAUAC
Molecule: ribosomal RNA, 301 nt
Filed under: uncultured bacterium
Lineage: Bacteria
Description: partial 16S ribosomal RNA
Rfam family: Bacterial small subunit ribosomal RNA
Source: RNAcentral